GUCUUUUUGUGUUGGAUAUAAAGUAUAACCUGCCCAUUGAAAUUAUUUUAAAGGCUGCGGUAUAUUGACCGUACAAAGGUAGCAUAAUCAUUAGUUCUUUAAUUGAGAACUCGUAUGAAUGGUUGAAUGAGGAAUAAACUUUUUUAGAAAAAGAAUUGAAUUUUACAUUUUAAUUAAAAGGUUAAAAUGAAUUUAAAAGACGAGAAGACCCUAUAGAGUUUAAUAAUUUAUUAAAAUUUUUUAAAAAAAAUUAGUAAGUGUUUUAUUUUAAUAAAUUAUUUUAUUGGGGUGAUAGUAAAAUUUUAUAAACUUUUAUUUUUUUUUUACAUUAAUAUAUGAUUAAUUGAUCCAUUAUUAAUGAUUAAAAGUUUAAAUUACCUUAGGGAUAACAGCGUAAUUUUUUUUUUAAGUUCAUAUUAAUAAAAAAUUUUGCGACCUCGAUGUUGGAUUAAGAUUUAAUUUUAGGUGCAGAAGUUUAAAAUUAGAGUCUGUUCGACUUUUAAAUUCUU
RNAcentral lists this ribosomal RNA (509 nucleotides) under Pseudolycoriella zealandica. Its description in RNAcentral is "partial large subunit ribosomal RNA". The record is from RNAcentral. Lineage: Eukaryota; Metazoa; Arthropoda; Insecta; Diptera; Sciaridae.